RNAcentral lists this ribosomal RNA (468 nucleotides) under uncultured bacterium. Its description in RNAcentral is "partial 16S ribosomal RNA". It matches the Rfam family "Bacterial small subunit ribosomal RNA", at positions 28 to 507 of the family's 1533-position model. The record is from RNAcentral.
GACGAACGCUGGCGGCGUGCUUAACACAUGCAAGUCGAACGGAAAGGCCCUGCUUUUGUGGGGUGCUCGAGUGGCGAACGGGUGAGUAACACGUGAGUAACCUGCCCUUGACUUUGGGAUAACUUCAGGAAACUGGGGCUAAUAUCGGAUAGGAGCUCCUGCUGCAUGGUGUGGGUUGGAAAGUUUCGGCGGUUGGGGAUGGACUCGCGGCUUAUCAGCUUGUUGGUGGGGUAGUGGCUUACCAAGGCUUUGACGGGUAGCCGGCCUGAGAGGGUUACCGGCCACAUGGCGACUGAGAUACGGCCCAGAAUGCUACGGGAGGCAGCAGUGGGGAAUAUUGCACAAUAGGCGGAAGCCUGAGGCAGAAACGCCGGGUGCGGGAUGACGGCCUUCGGGUUGUAAACCGCUGUCGCCUGAGACGAAGAGUGAGUGACGGUAAUGGGUAAAGAAGCAACGGCUAACUACGUG